GGGAGGUGUUAGCAGAAGACGCUCCCGGGCGCCGGGAGGAGUUUGCGCCGGCGGCGGCGGCCCCGCGGCCGCGGAGCUCUCGGAGAAAAUGAGUUUCGGGGUGAGCUGCUGAAUCAGAGGUGGACCUGCGGAGAGAAGAUCAGCAGCUGCGAGGGAGCCGCCAGCCUGCACGGCACACACAUCAAGAUGAGUUUAGAAAAUGACGAUAAGAGAGCACGCACGCGAUCCAAGUCUG
Molecule: long non-coding RNA, 235 nt
Filed under: Manacus vitellinus (golden-collared manakin)
Lineage: Eukaryota; Metazoa; Chordata; Aves; Passeriformes; Pipridae
Description: lncRNA (ENSMVIG00005004858.1)
Source: RNAcentral